AUGCUACCAAUUAAAAAAAAAAAAAGAUUCAAAAAAAGAAAGGAGGAGAAGCUAAUUAUUAAUUAUGCUAGUCCGGAAAUAUAUAGUACUCACAUGAGCUACUAGUCCUCAUAUUCAUAGUCCUUUCAGCUACAAUUCAUAUGAAGAAAAUCAGUCACGAAUAUCAUCUGCAUGCAUUAAUUUACCUGCGAAAAAUGAAGGAACCCAAUUGUUAUCGAUCGUGGGAAGAGAAGUGAAAUGCUUAUUUGUAGAGGUGAAUGGCAGGGCAAUUCUCCUUUGGCAGAAGAGAAAUAUGCAUGUAUGUACAUGUUUCUCUCUGCCAAAGGAGGACUGCACUGUUAUUCCUAAACCCCACAUCUGCUUCCUUAAUCCAGUACCUCAUGCCCGAGUUUCUACAGUAAUUCCACACUUCUUUUAUAGUGCAUGAUAUGCACCAGAAUCUGGAUAUGCCAGGGAAGAGAAAGAGGAUAUGCCACUACAAUUCCUGUACAUGUUCCAUUCUCAUCACUCAUCAGCUUAUGGCUUCGUGGUCCCUGUUCCCUCUCACCAUCACUACUCUUCCACUGAAGACGAAGGGCUUCUGACAGUAUCUUCGUUUCAUCUUCAACUUGGAGUUUUUGGUUACUUUCUACGCAUUUAACUGUAAGAUAUUAUAUGGGGUUUUGUCAUUCGACUCAUUCCACAUUCCACUGAAGAGGAUGACACCUCAUGUACUCAAGCUUUUUACAUCACAUUUAAUUAGUUCUAAUAAGUGGCAAAAAAAAAAAAAGCAACUGAAAGAGCAUAUUCGAGGAGAUCUAACAAUAUGCUAUAUCUCCUUGUCAAUGUCACCCGGCCGCUGCAUGGUCAUUCUUAUCUUGGUUUCUGACCUUUAGCUUUCUUUUCCAACUUUAUAUACAUUUGGUCAUUCAAAAAGUUCCUGGAAAGGGAAUUCACAUGGUUGAAAACUUCGGGCUGAAUAUGCCUGUAGAGUACUUCUUUACUAGUAGUUCAUUUCAGCAAACAUGUAUACCUUUAUGUAAUAAUGUAUUUUACUUUGAGAUUAAUAUAUAUGAAAGUGGUUGAUGUCUCAAUUUUGAGUAAUUAUAUAUGUUUAUUUUGUGUUUAUUAAAAUUGAUGUGGCUUUUUAAAAUCAUCAUUGGAAUUAUGACAGAUCAUUAUUGACUUUUGAUCCAAUUGUGAUUUUAAAAGAUACAUCAAUUUUAAUUGAUACAAGAUAAACGUAGAAGUUAACAUGUAUCACUCAUCAAUUUUAUAUUCUUUUUCUUUCUUUCUAACUUUUUUUUUUUUUUGUCUGUGUAAGAAAUUUCCUAAUUAUAUUAAAGUGUGCCGGUAUGACACGUGUUUAUUGUGAUUUAAAUUAAACACAAUUACAGAUAUUCAAUAAUUUAUUCUAAAUAAGAAAUUAAUUGUGGAAUCGAAAUCAAAUUGAUUUAAAUUGAUUUUUAUUCUGAUUCCUAUUUCUUGAUUGGAGGAAUAAAUAAGGUAAAAAAUUAUGAUUAAAGGUUCAUGACUUACCUAUAAAUAAAUAAAACUUCUACUAAUUAUUAUUUUCAGGUUCCUGUUUCUGAAGCUCAUUGAGUCGCUUGAGUAAACAUGACAGGACAUAAUUUUGAAUUCUUUUCCGUGCGUAUAUUAGCAUAUAUAUAUAUGACGACAGGCAGCUAAAUUACAGCCAUGCACGACUGGUAACACAAAGAAAGGCACCCGAAAGAAAGCCACAGAGAAGGAAAUAACCAACACAAAAAAUUACCCAGAAACCAAUUAAGCUGCGCCAAGCACCCAGGACAACUAAACAUAAUGCAGAAUAUUUUCAGAGAUAUCCCCACACGUAAGGGCAAGGUUCUCUGUACCUACGUGUAUUGUGCAACAAGCUAGGCUACUCGAUCACGCUAAUUAAAGAAAGCAAUGUCUGAAGAGAACCAGAGGCUGACUUGUUGUAGAAUAUGAUUCAACUGCCAGCAUCUUCCCGGCCCCACAAAUAAUCUAAAGACGGUAGAAUUCAUUAAGCUUUUCACGUGGAAUCAAGUUCGUGCCCAAAAAUCAGCGUGACAGUUGGUUUCCUAUGUCAAACCAACCACACCAUUAAGGUGAAAGAAUGUAUUACAAUCUGAAAUUAUCCUAUAUAGAAAAAAAAAAUAUAUAUAUAUAUAUAUAUAUAUAUAUACCCACUUCAACUUGUUUCUGCCUUCAUUCACCUCAUUUUUUGUGGCGCAAAUUGCUUGAAAUCCGGACGGUUCGAUUAUAAUCCAUGGACGUCCACAUAGCCAUUGUCUCCCGGACAAAAUUUCUGCUCUCUCUAAAAUUAUACGUUAACGUAACAUAAAGACAAUAAAAAAAAAAAAAGAAUGACGUCUUCUCUACUCUCUUUAUACGUUAACAUAACGUAUAAGAAUCACAACUCUUCGCAAAAUUUUAUGCAAAACUCUUCUCAAGCAAAAAUAUCUUGAGAAAUCACAACUCUUCUUAAAAUUAUAAAUAUAUGUUAUAGAAGUCUAGAGCCUCAAUUGUUGAUGUAUUUCGAUUAAAAAUCAAUAAGAGUCAAUUAAUCAAGGAAUUGAUGCAAAAAGGAUAGACAACCACUCAAAAGUAUCUUAUUGAUUUCUAAUCAAAAUACAUCAACCAUUGAGACUUUAUAUGACCAUGACAUAUAUUUAUACUACAUCCACUCUUAAUCCUAACAAAGACUUGAAACAAAGUCCGUUUACAAAAAUUUGCUGUAGCCCGUUCGAAUUGAGCCAUGUAGUAGUUUGAAUUGGUAAAAAUUUGAGCUUGUUCCAAAUUCAGUUUGAACUAAGAUUUGGGAGUACGCACGCUACUACAACUUCAUAAUAACUUAGUUCCGAGUUUAUUUUGAAUUGAACAAUGGUCGUGCCUUUUCUGGAAGUCCUCUGGAGUGUCUCGUUGAAGAAAAUAACAAACUUAGUUUAGGAAUGACAUAGAGCUACUAGAAAACAUGAGUUGCUCCAC
This 2970-nucleotide precursor RNA is filed under the name Betula luminifera. Its description in RNAcentral is "precursor microRNA MIR399a". The stretch from base 252 to 348 matches the Rfam family "mir-399 microRNA precursor family". The record is from RNAcentral. Lineage: Eukaryota; Viridiplantae; Streptophyta; Magnoliopsida; Fagales; Betulaceae.